AUACUUCCCUGGCAGGGGAGGUACCAUGAUCACGAAGGUGGUUUUCCCAGGGUGAGGCUUAUCCAUUGCACCCCUGUGAUUUCCCAAAAUUCGGGAAACUAAACUGCAUAAUUUGUGGUAGUGGGGGGGGCUGCAUUCACACUCUCCCCUG
RNAcentral lists this small nuclear RNA (151 nucleotides) under Mus pahari (shrew mouse). RNAcentral describes it as "predicted gene, 26442 (MGP_PahariEiJ_G0033607.1)". It matches the Rfam family "U1 spliceosomal RNA". Rfam says of the family: U1 is a small nuclear RNA (snRNA) component of the spliceosome (involved in pre-mRNA splicing). Lineage: Eukaryota; Metazoa; Chordata; Mammalia; Rodentia; Muridae. The record is from RNAcentral.